UUCUCUAUGAAAGAAAAUAGAGUAUAGCCUGCUCAAUGAUCUUAAAUAGCUGCAGUUUUCUGUACUAAGGUAGCAUAAUCGCUUGGCACUUAAUUGGUGCCUAGAAUGAAAGGUUGGAUGAAUUUGCCAGAUUCUUCAGGUAGUAGAUUUAAAUUGAUUUAUUAGUAAAAAGGCUAAUAUCAGGUUUAGGGACGAGAAGACCCUAGAAAGCUUUAAGCCUCAUAACUUGAUAAUUUAAUGGCUUUGAUUGGGGCAAUCUCUUAAGAUUUAAGCUUAAAUUGGAGCCAAGAAUCUUGAUUAAAAAGAAAGUUACUUUAGGGAUAACAGCAUAAUAAGAGGCAAGUAGUUCAGAUACUUUCCCCUGCUUAUGACCUCGAUGUUGAAUUAAGGAACCUGAUGGGAGUAGAAGCUAAUCAAGGUAGUCUGUUCGACUAAUAAUUCCUUACA
RNAcentral lists this ribosomal RNA (447 nucleotides) under Neogovea sp. MCZDNA101408. RNAcentral's name for it is "partial 16S ribosomal RNA". It matches the Rfam family "Bacterial large subunit ribosomal RNA", at positions 1819 to 2600 of the family's 2925-position model. The record is from RNAcentral. Lineage: Eukaryota; Metazoa; Arthropoda; Arachnida; Opiliones; Neogoveidae.